UAUGGUCGACCUGCAGGCGGCCGCGAAUUCACUAGUGAUUAGAGUUUGAUCAUGGCUCAGGAUGAACGCUAACGGCAGGCUUAAUACAUGCAAGUCGAGGGGCAGCAGGUCUGUAGCAAUACAGAUGCUGGCGACCGGCAAACGGGUGCGGAACACGUACGCAACUUACCCUCAUCUGGGGCAUAGCCCGGGGAAACCCGGAUUAACUCCCCAUAAGAUAGUGGAGUGGCAUCACUCAGCUAUUAAAACUCAGGUGGAUGGGGAUGGGCGUGCGGCCCAUUAGAUAGUUGGUGGGGUAACGGCUCACCAAGUCUGCGAUGGGUAACUGGUGUGAGAGCACGACCAGUCACACGGGCACUGAGACACGGGCCCGACUCCUACGGGAGGCAGCAGUAAGGAAUAUUGGUCAAUGGAGGCAACUCUGAACCAGCC
This 432-nucleotide ribosomal RNA is filed under the name uncultured Bacteroidota bacterium. Its description in RNAcentral is "bacterial SSU rRNA". It matches the Rfam family "Bacterial small subunit ribosomal RNA", at positions 1 to 393 of the family's 1533-position model. Lineage: Bacteria; Pseudomonadati; Bacteroidota. The record is from RNAcentral.